RNAcentral lists this ribosomal RNA (196 nucleotides) under Lacticaseibacillus rhamnosus. Its description in RNAcentral is "partial 23S ribosomal RNA". It matches the Rfam family "Bacterial large subunit ribosomal RNA", at positions 2731 to 2925 of the family's 2925-position model. Lineage: Bacteria; Bacillati; Bacillota; Bacilli; Lactobacillales; Lactobacillaceae. The record is from RNAcentral.
AGGCGCAUCGCUGGGUAGCUAUGAACGGAAGGGAUAAACGCUGAAAGCAUCUAAGUGUGAAGCCCCCCUCGAGAUGAGAUUUCCCAUUCCUAUAUGGAAGUAAGACCCCUGAAAGAUGAUCAGGUAGAUAGGCUGGAAGUGGAAGUGCAGCGAUGCAUGGAGCGGACCAGUACUAAUCGGUCGAGGACUUAACCAA